This is a non-coding RNA of Stegodyphus mimosarum, 73 nucleotides long. The record is from Rfam. Lineage: Eukaryota; Metazoa; Arthropoda; Arachnida; Araneae; Eresidae.
GCCUUCAUGGUGUAGUGGUCAGCACGCUGGGCACCUAUUCCAGAGGACCAUGGUUCGAUUCCUUGCGAAGGCG